UCGACCACCCCGGCCUCCCAAAGUGCUGGGAUUACAGAGAAAAGGUACCACAUCUUAUUCUUCAUGGUGUCUACAAUAUCUGGCAGUUUUUGGAAGUCAAGGAAAUACGGUCUCACCGUGUUGCCCAGGCUGGCCUUG
Nomascus leucogenys (northern white-cheeked gibbon) is the source of this 138-nucleotide long non-coding RNA. RefSeq lists it as uncharacterized. The transcript has 3 exons. The record is from RefSeq and is a predicted model, not a curated record. NCBI's taxonomy places the organism in Eukaryota, Metazoa, Chordata, Mammalia, Primates, Hylobatidae.